AAGUCAACACGGUCCCGCUGAGCAUCUCCAACAUGGACAUGACCCCACUGGAUAUCUCCAAAGUCAACACGUCCUCAUUGAGCGCCUCCAAUGCGGACACGACCUCACUGAGUACCUCCAAAGUCAACGCGGUCCCGUUGAGUGUCUCCAACGUGGAUGUGACCUCAUUGAGCAUCUCCAAAGUCAACACGUCCCCAUUGAGUGGCUCCAUCGUGGACAAGUCCCGAUCAGGCAUCUGCAACAUCAACAUGGUCCCGUUGAGCACCUCCAAUGUGGACACGACCUCACUGAACAUCUCCAAAGUCAACACGGUCCCGUUGAGUGUCUCCAACAUGGACACAACCUCAUCGGGCGUCUCCAAAGUCAAUAUAGCCCCACUGAGCGUCUCCAUCGUGGACGUGGCCCCACUGGGCAUCUCCAAAGCCAACAUGUCCCCUCUGAGCACCUCCAACGUGGACACGACCUCACUGAGCAUCUCCAAAGUCGAUACGGCCCCGUUGGGCAUCUCCAAAGUCAACGUGGCCCCAUUGGGCACCUCCGACGUGGACACGGCCCCCUUGAGCACCUCCAAGCUGGACACGACCCCACGGGGCGCCUUCAAGGAGGACACGGCCCCGCCGGAUGUCUCCAAGGGGGACGUGGCCCUGUUGAGGCUCUCCAAAGGGGACCAGGCACCUCUGGGUGUCCCCGUCUCCGAGGCAGACACAGCCCCACCAGGUGUCCCAAAGGUGGCCACGACCCCGAUGAGCGUCUCCAAGGUGGCCACGACCCUCUUGGGUGGCCCAAAAGUGGCCACAACCCCAUGGAGAACCUCCAAGGUGGAAACGGCCCCAUUAGGCGACUCCAAGGUAGAAAUGACCCCACCGGGCAUCCCAAAGGUGGGCACGGCCCCAUGGAGGGUCUCCAAGGGGGACACGACCCUGUUGAGCGUCCCAAAAGUGGGCACRACCCCACUGGGUGUCUCCAAAGUGGACACGGCCCCAUUGGGUGCCUCCAGGGUGGAAACGAGCCCAUUGGGCGUCCCAAAGGUGGACAAAACCCUAUUGGGUGCCUCCAAGGA
Molecule: long non-coding RNA, 1060 nt
Filed under: Apteryx haastii (Great spotted kiwi)
Lineage: Eukaryota; Metazoa; Chordata; Aves; Apterygiformes; Apterygidae
Description: lncRNA (ENSAHAG00000009220.1)
Source: RNAcentral